Molecule: transfer RNA, 69 nt
Filed under: Urocitellus parryii (Arctic ground squirrel)
Lineage: Eukaryota; Metazoa; Chordata; Mammalia; Rodentia; Sciuridae
Also listed under: 1 other name
Description: Spermophilus parryii (Arctic ground squirrel) tRNA
Rfam family: tRNA
About the family: Transfer RNA (tRNA) molecules are approximately 80 nucleotides in length. Their secondary structure includes four short double-helical elements and three loops (D, anti-codon, and T loops). Further hydrogen bonds mediate the characteristic L-shaped molecular structure. tRNAs have two regions of fundamental functional importance: the anti-codon, which is responsible for specific mRNA codon recognition, and the 3' end, to which the tRNAs corresponding amino acid is attached (by aminoacyl-tRNA synthetases). tRNAs cope with the degeneracy of the genetic code in two manners: having more than one tRNA (with a specific anti-codon) for a particular amino acid; and 'wobble' base-pairing, i.e. permitting non-standard base-pairing at the 3rd anti-codon position.
Source: Rfam by way of RNAcentral
GGGGUUGUGGCUUAGAGGUAGAGCGCUCGCCUCGUAUGUGCGAGACUCUGGGUUCGAUCCUCAGCACCA